Molecule: long non-coding RNA, 1231 nt
Organism: Manis pentadactyla (Chinese pangolin)
Lineage: Eukaryota; Metazoa; Chordata; Mammalia; Pholidota; Manidae
Exons: 4
Source: RefSeq, a predicted model, not a curated record
GUUUCCUGGCCCUGGGACUUCGGAGUGCCCUUCCUGGUGUGCAUACACUGCUUGUACGCGUGUUUGGCAGUGGGGUGGAGACGGUGAACAGGUGCCAGUGGGGCACAGGCUGGUGGCAUCAGGACCCCUCACGCUGGCCCUGAAUUCUUAAGAAGGAGUGAGCCAUCGCUGGAGAGGAACUACAGCUCAGCCCCUGUCUACACUGGAGGCAUUUGGGAACGCGCGGAGCGGCAGGCAGAACUGAGGAGGCAGAGGAAAGCACGCAGGGCUGCCCGGGCUCCGCUGGGUUCAGGAAAGGAGGGCCGACCGGUGGAGGAAAAGCCAGGACUGUGAGGGUCCACUGCAGGCUGCUGUGGGAGCCCAUGCCUGGAAUGUGGGUCCUGUCGGGAAGGCAUGCUGUAUUUACUCUGGCAGGCUCCCUGGUAAAGCCGUGCUAGGCCGCAGCCGGGAUACUGUCAGCUAUGAAGGGGCGCCUCGCCUGCUGCACCGCGCUUCCCGCUGGCCUCUGGGCAUUUGCGGUUCAUCUGUUUGGAUUUCGAGGCCUGCACACCGCCCCUUUGUGGAAAGCCGCUGUGGCCCAGAGACUCUGAUUCCUUUUUAUUUUAUUUUUUUCUGAAUUAGGACUUAAGCUACUGCCCAAGAUUGGGCCAAGAUGUGGUUGUCAUGGCAACAGCACGCUCUCCUACCUAAGAAUGAUUCCUUUCUCUCCCAGAGUUCAGGUAAAGUCAGCAGACUUUUACUGAAGUGGCAUGGCCAGUAGGCAGAAGGCUCCAGAUUAAAGUUUUUGAGUUUGAAUUGCAGCUUCAACAUGUGCUAAAUGUACGUCCUCAGGCAGUUCGUUUACCUGCAGAAGCUGGACUCUUCUGCUCUCUCUGCAGCAUCUGGGGAUGGACAUGCUCCCAUAAGCCAAUUCUGCAGCUGAGUGGACUGAGGUCCCAGAAAGCCAAAGGCCUGAAGUGGAAAAUACUGCACAGGUGGACUCAUUAAGGAAAGAAGAACAACAUCUUGCUUUCCUCCAGCCAUGGCUAAUUUGGAAAAUUUGCAAGCUGACAUACAACUUGAUUAAAAUGACCUGGAGUCACCAAUUCUUUUGAAAUGCAACUGUAUCUUCACAACCCCAGACCUUUUGUAUUCUGGUCACCUCUUUUACACUAUUUUUUGUGGGGAAGAGUGAGAGGAUGGGGGUGGGGAAGAACUAUAUGUUAUAAUCCACAUAGAGAUUUUAAAUGAU